This 369-nucleotide transfer-messenger RNA is filed under the name Sulfurovaceae. RNAcentral describes it as "UBA1140 sp006212005 Standard tmRNA". It matches the Rfam family "transfer-messenger RNA". Rfam says of the family: Bacterial tmRNA, also known as 10Sa RNA or SsrA, is named for its dual tRNA and mRNA-like properties. Its role is to liberate the mRNA from a stalled ribosome. To accomplish this part of the tmRNA is used as a reading frame that ends in a translation stop signal. The record is from RNAcentral. Lineage: Bacteria; Pseudomonadati; Campylobacterota; Epsilonproteobacteria; Campylobacterales.
GGGGGUGACUGGUUUCGACUGGAGUAGUAUGGAUUAUGUGCAUGUCGGACUGGGCAAUUCCGUUAUGCGGCCCAACGCAAAUAAACGCAAAAAAUACAAAUUAUUCUCCUGCUUACGCUUUAGCUGCGUAAGUUUAACAAACUUUAGGAGUGCCUUGCUGCCGAGUGUUAUCAUAGGUAGAUCUUUAGGUAUCAUAAAAUGAUAACUUAUUCUAUUGAGCGCCUGAUCAAUAGAUGAAAUUUUAGGCUGGUAAUGUGUAGCUUUGGGUAUUGAGCAAAGCAUUAUGAGAUAUAUCAAUACCAUCUAAACAUGUAGAGUCAUAAUUCGAGCUAUUUUAGGACUGGGGUUCGAUCCCCCACACCUCCACCA